GCCCCCCACUUCUCCCCCGGCCCGGCCCCCAAAGUUGGCCAAGUUGGCAGCGCCUUACCCGGGAGGGCGGCGGCGGCAGCGUCCCCGGGGGCGCCGAGGAGGCCGAUGUGCAGACCCCCGAGGAGCAGGACGCAGCGCAGCAGGUCACCACAGCGCAGAGCACUGGAUUGGGAGUCAGGAUGUUGGAGUCUAGCCCCAGCUCUACCUCUGAUUCUUUGAGCAACUCUGGAAAGUCGCUUGGAAUCUCUGGGCUCAGAGGAGGACUGAGACAUUUAGAAACCCUAAAUGCAAAGGAGAUUCACGUUCCCUCGCCACGGGUCAUCAAAUAAAAACACUAUGAAACUG
Long non-coding RNA from Suricata suricatta (meerkat), 345 nucleotides. RefSeq lists it as uncharacterized. The transcript is spliced from 2 exons. The record is from RefSeq and is a predicted model, not a curated record. NCBI's taxonomy places the organism in Eukaryota, Metazoa, Chordata, Mammalia, Carnivora, Herpestidae.